Mastomys coucha (southern multimammate mouse) is the source of this 163-nucleotide small nuclear RNA. RefSeq annotates it as U1 spliceosomal RNA. The record is from RefSeq and is a predicted model, not a curated record. The transcript has a single exon. Lineage: Eukaryota; Metazoa; Chordata; Mammalia; Rodentia; Muridae.
AUACUUACCUGGCAGGGAAGAUACCAUGAUCACGAAGGUGGUUUUCCCAGGGCAAGGCUUAUCCAUUGCAAUCCGGAUGUGCUGUCCCUGCGAUUUCCUCAAAUGUGGGAAACUCGACUGCAUAAUUUGUGGUAGUGGGGGACGGCAUUCGUGUUCUCCCCUG